RNAcentral lists this ribosomal RNA (402 nucleotides) under uncultured Planctomycetota bacterium. RNAcentral's name for it is "bacterial SSU rRNA". It matches the Rfam family "Bacterial small subunit ribosomal RNA", at positions 434 to 826 of the family's 1533-position model. Lineage: Bacteria; Pseudomonadati; Planctomycetota. The record is from RNAcentral.
UGUCAGGAGUUAUGAAAUGUAGGUGCGCUAAUAUCGUGCUUAUUUGACAAAGGCUCCAAAGGAAGCCACGGCUAACUCUGUGCCAGCAGCCGCGGUAAUACAGAGGUGGCGAGCGUUGUUCGGAAUUAUUGGGCGUAAAGAGCACGUAGGUGGGUUUGCAAGUCAGAUGUGAAAGCCUUCUGUUCAACGGGAGAAUUGCAUCUGAAACUGCUAAUCUUGAGUAUAGGAGGGGAGAAUGGAACUUCUGGUGGAGCGGUGAAAUGCGUAGAUAUCAGAAGGAACGCCGGCGGCGAAAGCGAUUCUCUGGCCUAUUACUGACACUCAGUGUGCGAAAGCUAGGGGAGCAAACGGGAUUAGAUACCCCGGUAGUCCUAGCCGUAAACGAUGGGCACUAAGUAGAGG